GCGGAAACCCCCUAACACUUAGCACUCAUCGUUUACGGCGUGGACUACCAGGGUAUCUAAUCCUGUUUGAUCCCCACGCUUUCGCACAUCAGCGUCAGUUACAGACCAGAAAGUCGCCUUCGCCACUGGUGUUCCUCCAUAUCUCUGCGCAUUUCACCGCUACACAUGGAAUUCCACUUUCCUCUUCUGCACUCAAGUUUUCCAGUUUCCAAUGACCCUCCACGGUUGAGCCGUGGGCUUUCACAUCAGACUUAAAAAACCGCCUACGCGCGCUUUACGCCCAAUAAUUCCGGAUAACGCUUGCCACCUACGUAUUACCGCGGCUGCUGGCACGUAGUUAGCCGUGGCUUUCUGAUUAGGUACCGUCAAGAUGUGCACAGUUACUUACACAUAUGUUCUUCCCUAAUAACAGAGUUUUACGAUCCGAAGACCUUCAUCACUCACGCGGCGUUGCUCCGUCAGGCUUUCGCCCAUUGCGGAAGAUUCCCUACUGCUGCCUCCCGUAGGAGUCUGGACCGUGUCUCAGUUCCAGUGUGGCCGAUCACCCUCUCAGGUCGGCUAUGCAUCGUUGCCUUGGUAAGCCGUUACCUUACCAACUAGCUAAUGCAGCGCGGAUCCAUCUAUAAGUGACAGCAAGACCGUCUUUUACUUUUGAACCAUGCGGUUCAAAAUAUUAUCCGGUAUUAGCUCCGGUUUCCCGAAGUUAUCCCAGUCUUAUAGGUAGGUUAUCCACGUGUUACUCACCCGUCCGCCGCUAACAUCAGAGAAGCAAGCUUCUCGUCCGUUCGCUCGACUUGCAUGUAUUAGGCACGCCGCCAGCGUUCAUCCUGAGCCAGGAUCAAACUCUG
This 848-nucleotide ribosomal RNA is filed under the name uncultured bacterium. RNAcentral describes it as "partial 16S ribosomal RNA". The record is from RNAcentral.